This 231-nucleotide ribosomal RNA is filed under the name uncultured bacterium. Its description in RNAcentral is "partial 16S ribosomal RNA". It matches the Rfam family "Bacterial small subunit ribosomal RNA", at positions 104 to 334 of the family's 1533-position model. The record is from RNAcentral.
GGGUAGCGUAACACGUGAGCAACCUACCGAUUUGUGGGGGAUAGCCGGCCCAACGGCCGGGUAAUACCGCAUACGCUCUUUGGGCUUCAUGGCCUAUUGAGGAAACCUCCGGGGCAAAUCGAGGGGCUCGCGUCCUAUCAGCUAGUUGGCGAGGUCACGGCUCACCAAGGCGACGACGGGUAGCUGGUCUGAGAGGAUGGCCAGCCACAUUGGGACUGAGAAACGGCCCAG